CAAAGACACACAAGCUUUCUGUAGUAGUGACUCCGACGUGAGGAAGUGCUCAUCUCUAGUGCCCCAACCCCCCCAAAAAAAAACCAAGAGGCAAAGUUGACCUUUCUUCCCCACCCUGGAUACCACCUUGAAAAGUGGGUGUGGGUCGAAUGCAAUUCAGGUUUGGACAGGGACAACUGGCUGGCCCGCCUGUGUGGGCGGGGUUUCCAUCUUUGCUGCUGUGUCAAUAGGGACUCAAGGCCAUGGCCCCUCAGAGUGACUGCUGCAGCUUCCAGGACAGGAGGAGGAGCUCAAAAGCCCACAGAGCAGACCUGCACGUGUGGAAAGGUGGAGGCCAGUCACAGGCGUCCUGCAGUCCUUCCACAGCAGAAAGCGGGCACAGGAUGCCGGGAGCCUGCCCGGGUGCGGUUUCUACACAAAAUCUCUCCAUGUGUCUCAGCACCACCGUGUCGCUGUCGAGGCACACGCCAACGUCCUUCUCAGCGAAUGGUUUGCUGCACUUAAUUUCCAGCCAUGAUUAAAAACAGCACUUUGCCUCUUGUACCCCUGGAUCCUCACUUUCAGAAGGGCGUUUUUUUUUUCUGUCUCUUCAAAUGGCUUCUCUUUGAUAUGGAAAGAAUUAAGUUGCUUUCACUUGGUCUAUUUCCACUCUCCCAUCUGAAAGUGUUCAACCCUGAGAUACAGGCAGCAAGGCCAUGCCAGGACAACAAGGUCACUAGGAGAUGAAGCUGGCAUUUGGGUUUGUGGGGACCAUAAACUCCUAAAUAGUAAAGAGUUGGACCCGAGUGAGAGACUGGACUGAACUGAACUGAGCCCACCAUUAGGAAGGAAAGUCCUCAGCAGCAAACCUCUGCCGGGACUGGGGUCUGAUUGCAAGCUGUGUGCCCUCAGGCUGAGCUGACACUCCCUGCAGAGGGCCGCCAGGCCUGCUCUGGGAGUCAGAGCGGCGCUGCGUCAAACAGAGCUGGGGAGACAGGGAUUUUCACUGUUACCAGGGACGGAAACACCGAGAGGUCAAGGAGGCUCGUCACACACCCAGAAAACACACCCAGCUUUCAGAAGCAGAGCACUGCUGCAGGGCUGACAUUUGGGGCCCGCCCUCAGAACCUGCCCCUUCAACGGCUCCGUACUCCAGGGAAGGCCUCCUCAGCUUCAAGGCGCCAGGAGUCAUAAAUCCAUAUUUAAUUAGCUCUGAAUGAAACGCUGAAGGUGAUAGGAUCUUUGUGCUGAAAAUGAAACCCGAAUGGGUCUGGGUGAUUUAUGUCUAAUUCAGACUUGUAAUUUAAUUAAAACGACAUACUGAAUUUAAAAAAAGCCUCUCUGGCAGAGUCCUUCCCACCUGAAAUUCAAAUGCACCGUGUGCUCUGUCG
Bos indicus x Bos taurus (hybrid cattle) is the source of this 1370-nucleotide long non-coding RNA. The record is from Ensembl. NCBI's taxonomy places the organism in Eukaryota, Metazoa, Chordata, Mammalia, Artiodactyla, Bovidae.